This 330-nucleotide long non-coding RNA is filed under the name Vigna radiata. RNAcentral describes it as "long non-coding RNA (VRAD_LNC007766)". Lineage: Eukaryota; Viridiplantae; Streptophyta; Magnoliopsida; Fabales; Fabaceae. The record is from RNAcentral.
GGCAGCCCGACGUAUAUUAAUGGACGGUGGUAUUACCGUAUAUAAGUUGGUCACCAAGACGUUGGUUUCUAGGGCACGCGACGUCUAUGAUAUAGUAGACGUCUGCUCUGCCCUAAACCAACGUCCAAUGGCCUGAGGUAGGCGAGAAGACAGGCUUUUCUACCCCAUUGACGUCGGUUGUUCUGGGGGCCCGAUGUCUACUUGCCUGCAAUUAAUCCUCUUCACCUGAUUCUCAGACGUUUAGACGUCACGUAGUAAAAAACCGACAUCUAUGGCUUGUCUGGAAGGUGGGAAGACAUCAAUUUCUACAAUAUAGACGUCGGAUUUCUC